Zonotrichia albicollis (white-throated sparrow) is the source of this 1875-nucleotide long non-coding RNA. The record is from Ensembl. Lineage: Eukaryota; Metazoa; Chordata; Aves; Passeriformes; Passerellidae.
CACACACGGGGACACACGCUGGGACAUGGGGACACACACGGAGGGGGGAUACACAUGGGGACACACACAAGGAUAUGGGGACACAGGGACAGGGGGGACACACAGAGAGAUGGGGACACAGAGACACAGGGACACGAGGAUAUGGGGACACACAUGGACAGGGGGACACGGGGACAGAGGGACAUGGGGACACACGUGGGGACACAGGGACAUGGGGACACGGUGACGCAGUGAUAGUAGGACACAUAGAGGGACAGGAGACACAGGGACACGGGGACAGGGGACACACACAGGGACACAUCUGGGGACACAGGGACACACAGAGGGAUGGGGGACACAGGGACACGGGGACACAGAGACACACAGAGGGACAGGGGACAGACACAGUGACAGUGGGACACACAGAGGGACGGGGGACACAGGGACACGGGGACAGGGGACACACACAGGGACACAUUUGGGGACACAGGGACACACAGACGGAUGGGGGACACGGGGACACAGGGACAUACAGAGGGAGAGGGGACACACUUGGGGACACAGGGACGGGGACAGAGGGACAGAGGACACGGGGACACACACAGGGACAGGCUUGGGGACACACAGAGGGAUGGGGGACACGGGGACACAGGGACACACACAGGGACACAGGGACACAGGGACAUGGGGACACACUUGGGGACACAGGGAGGGGACAGAGGGACAGAGGACACGGGGACACACGCACGGGGACUCAGGGACAUGGGGACACACUUGGGGACACAGGGACAGAGGGACACGGUGACGCAGUGACAAGGGGACACACACAGGGACGCAUUUGGGGACACAGGAACACACAGAGGGAUGGGGGACUCGGUGACAGGGGGACACAGAGGGACAGGGGACACAGGGACAGAGGGACACGGUGACNCUGGGGACACCCCAUGGCUUCAGGACAUCCCCAUGGCUUGGGGACACCCACGACUUGGGGACAUCUCACAGCUUGGGGACACCCCCACACUUGGGGACACCCCAUGGCUUGGGGACCCAAGCAAGGACAAUGUCACCUGCACAGCUGGGGACCCUACAAGGACAAUGUCACCUGCACCGCAAGGACGAUGUCACCUGCACCAGCGGUGUCACCUGCACCAGCGGUGUCACCUGCACGGCCAAUGUCACCUGCAUGGCCAGGGAUGUCCCCAGUGCUGGGGACCCCACACUGCCAAUGUCACCUGCAUGGCCAAUGUCACCCGCGUUGGGGACAUCCCCCACGCCCCCGGCUGGGGACACGCACGGCGCCCACCCCCACACACAGAACUGUCACCGGGCUGGGGACAUUGUCCCAAAAACUGUCACCGGGCUGGGGACACAAUCACAGAACUGUCACUACAUUGGGGACACUGUCCCAGGAACUGUCACCGGGCUGGGGACAUUGUCCCACAAACUGUCACCAGGCUCAGGACACAGUCACAGAACUGUCACUACGCUGGGGACACUGUCCCAGCAACUGUCACCGGGCUGGGGACACUGUCCCAGAACUGUCACCGAGUUGGGGACACUGUCACUGAACUGUCACUGCCUUGGGGACACUGUCCCAGAACUGUCACCGCGCUGCACCAGGACGUGUCCCCAAGGCACAGCUGCCACCACCGGCUUGGGGACACCAAACUGGGAACUCCGGACUGGGAACAACCAGGAAUUGUCACCAGCAGACCAGGAACUGUCACCACGAGACUGGGAAUUGUCACCAGUGGGAAUUGUCACCACCAGUGGGAACUGUCACCAGCAGACCUGGAAUUGUCACCACAGGACUGGGAACUGGUGGCACAUGGGUGACACCAAGCUGGCACCGCCACGGACACUGCAGGGGACACAGGACACUACAGGGACACCGUG